Molecule: ribosomal RNA, 765 nt
Filed under: Staphylococcus haemolyticus
Lineage: Bacteria; Bacillati; Bacillota; Bacilli; Caryophanales; Staphylococcaceae
Description: bacterial SSU rRNA
Rfam family: Bacterial small subunit ribosomal RNA
Source: RNAcentral
CAUGCAAGUCGAGCGAACAGACAAGGAGCUUGCUCCUUUGACGUUAGCGGCGGACGGGUGAGUAACACGUGGGUAACCUACCUAUAAGACUGGGAUAACUUCGGGAAACCGGAGCUAAUACCGGAUAAUAUUUCGAACCGCAUGGUUCGAUAGUGAAAGAUGGUUUUGCUAUCACUUAUAGAUGGACCCGCGCCGUAUUAGCUAGUUGGUAAGGUAACGGCUUACCAAGGCGACGAUACGUAGCCGACCUGAGAGGGUGAUCGGCCACACUGGAACUGAGACACGGUCCAGACUCCUACGGGAGGCAGCAGUAGGGAAUCUUCCGCAAUGGGCGAAAGCCUGACGGAGCAACGCCGCGUGAGUGAUGAAGGUCUUCGGAUCGUAAAACUCUGUUAUUAGGGAAGAACAUACGUGUAAGUAACUAUGCACGUCUUGACGGUACCUAAUCAGAAAGCCACGGCUAACUACGUGCCAGCAGCCGCGGUAAUACGUAGGUGGCAAGCGUUAUCCGGAAUUAUUGGGCGUAAAGCGCGCGUAGGCGGUUUUUUAAGUCUGAUGUGAAAGCCCACGGCUCAACCGUGGAGGGUCAUUGGAAACUNNNAAACUUGAGUGCAGAAGAGGAAAGUGGAAUUCCAUGUGUAGCGGUGAAAUGCGCAGAGAUAUGGAGGAACACCAGUGGCGAAGGCGACUUUCUGGUCUGUAACUGACGCUGAUGUGCGAAAGCGUGGGGAUCAAACAGGAUUAGAUACCCUGGUAGUCCACGCC